RNAcentral lists this ribosomal RNA (465 nucleotides) under uncultured bacterium. RNAcentral's name for it is "partial 16S ribosomal RNA". It matches the Rfam family "Bacterial small subunit ribosomal RNA", at positions 338 to 795 of the family's 1533-position model. The record is from RNAcentral.
CCUACGGGAGGCAGCAGUAGGGAAUCUUCCACAAUGGACGAAAGUCUGAUGGAGCAACGCCGCGUGAGUGAAGAAGGGUUUCGGCUCGUAAAGCUCUGUCGGUAGUGAAGAAAGAUAGAGGUAGUAACUGGCCUUUAUUUGACGGUAAUUACUUAGAAAGUGAGGGCUAACUACGUGCCAGCAGCCGCGGUAAUACGUAGGUGGCAAGCGUUGUCCGGAUUUAUUGGGCGUAAAGCGAGUGCAGGCGGUUCAAUAAGUCUGAUGUGAAAGCCUUCGGCUCAACCGGAGAAUUGCAUCAGAAACUGUGGAACUUGAGUGCAGAAGAGGAGAGUGGAACUCCAUGUGUAGCGGUGGAAUGCGUAGAUAUAUGGAAGAACACCAGUGGCGAAGGCGGCUUUCUGGUCUGCAACUGACGCUGAGGCUCGAAAGCAUGGGUAGCGAACAGGAUUAGAUACCCUUGUAGUC